Molecule: ribosomal RNA, 253 nt
Filed under: uncultured bacterium
Lineage: Bacteria
Description: partial 16S ribosomal RNA
Rfam family: Bacterial small subunit ribosomal RNA
Source: RNAcentral
GACGAGGGAUCCUAGCGUUGUUCGGAAUCAUUGGGCGUAAAGCGGGUGUAGGUGGCUUUGUAAGUCAGGUGUGAAAGCCCAGGGCUUAACCCUGGAAGUGCAUUUGAUACUGCGAAGCUUGAGUGUGGGAGAGGUUACUAGAAUUCCUGGUGUAGUGGUGAAAUACGUAGAUAUCAGGAGGAAUACCGGAGGCGAAGGCGGGUAACUGGCCCGACACUGACACUCAGACCCGAAAGCGUGGGGAUCAAACAGG